GAUGAACGCUGGCGGCGUGCCUAAUACAUGCAAGUCGAGCGAACGGACGAGAAGCUUGCUUCUCUGAUGUUAGCGGCGGACGGGUGAGUAACACGUGGAUAACCUACCUAUAAGACUGGGAUAACUUCAGGAAACCGGAGCUAAUACCGGAUAAUCUUUUGAACCGCAUGGUUCAAAAGUGAAAGACGGUCUUGCUGGCACUUAUAGAUGGAUCCGCGCUGCAUUAGCUAGUUGGUAAGGUAACGGCUUACCAAGGCAACGAUGCAUAGCCGACCUGAGAGGGUGAUCGGCAACACUGGAACUGAGACACGGUCCAGACUCCUACGGGAGGCAGCAGUAGGGAAUCUUCCGCAAUGGGCGAAAGCCUGACGGAGCAACGCCGCGUGAGUGAUGAAGGUCUUCGGAUCGUAAAACUCUGUUAUUAGGGAAGAACAUAUGUGUAAGUAACUGUGCACAUCUUGACGGUACCUAAUCAGAAAGCCACGGCUAACUACGUG
RNAcentral lists this ribosomal RNA (497 nucleotides) under uncultured bacterium. RNAcentral's name for it is "partial 16S ribosomal RNA". It matches the Rfam family "Bacterial small subunit ribosomal RNA", at positions 28 to 507 of the family's 1533-position model. The record is from RNAcentral.